RNAcentral lists this ribosomal RNA (253 nucleotides) under uncultured bacterium. RNAcentral describes it as "partial 16S ribosomal RNA". It matches the Rfam family "Bacterial small subunit ribosomal RNA", at positions 524 to 775 of the family's 1533-position model. The record is from RNAcentral.
GACGGAGGAUGCAAGUGUUAUCCGGAAUCACUGGGCGUAAAGCGUCUGUAGGUGGUUCAAUAAGUCAACUGUUAAAUCUUGAGGCUCAACUUCAAAAAUCGCAGUCGAAACUAUUGGACUCGAGUAUAGUAGGGGUAAAGGGAAUUUCCAGUGGAGCGGUGAAAUGCGUAGAGAUUGGAAAGAACACCAAUGGCGAAAGCACUUUACUGGGCUAUUACUGACACUGAGAGACGAAAGCUAGGGUAGCAAUGGG